RNAcentral lists this long non-coding RNA (652 nucleotides) under Neogobius melanostomus (round goby). RNAcentral's name for it is "lncRNA (ENSNMLG00000006302.1)". Lineage: Eukaryota; Metazoa; Chordata; Actinopteri; Gobiiformes; Gobiidae. The record is from RNAcentral.
AAACAUCUCAAAAGGAUCUGAGGAAAUUAAGUAUGAACUUGUGUGCAGAAAGGAUUAAUUUAUAAAUAAUAACUAAUGGAUACAGUUAUCUUCUUUAUCUGUAUUUCUUUCAUACAAUGGUUCACGGCUUGAACUAGGAAGAGCUGCAAAGUCAUUGGACAAAGUCAGGUGAGCGCCGAUUUUCAAAUUCACUCUCAGCACUGUAAUUGGCUAAUAGCCUUGUCGCUGAGAAAUGGUGAGUUCUGAUUGGUUGAUUCGAUCAGAAGGCGGGUCAUCAACAGUUGCUCUGAUUCCGACCGACAGGCAGCAGCAGCUCAACAUACUCGUAAUGUUUGUGGAAAAUAGUAUCCGCAGCUAUAUCGAAGAUGAGGGAAUAAAGAGACCACAUGCAUCAUCUGUAUACACCCAGCACCCAGGAAUGUCUGAUUUCUCUGUUCUGCACCAGCCUUAUGCAUGCCCCUCUGAACUCAAAAAGAUCCUGGCUUCUGCAUCCAGCCCCAUUUGGUCCACAACUCUACCCCAGGCCUGCUCUCUCCCUCAGCCAAGUGGAGUCCCUACAAAACGUGGUGCACAACUGGAGACAGGACAAAGAUUUCACCUGAUACCACGUGACGACGAGCUCAAGCACACGCAUUUUUAAAAGUGAGUUUUU